GAGAUGCAAUUGAAAGCGUAUGAUUAUUUUGGUCAUGGGACUUUAUCAUCCUAUCACCAGGUUGACGUUAUUGCUUUGACUAAGCUAACUUGUUUGGUGUUGCCACAAGGGCAUAGUUCAUUGCUGCAACCGAAAUCGAUAUGGAAGGCAGAAGAAAAUCACGAGACCUCACUGAUUGAACAUGUACUGCAUUUGGAGCCAAUUGAAGUAAACAUAUUUCGUGGACUCACAUUGCCUGAUGCUCCAAGGUUUGCACAGGUUUUUGGAGGACAACUGGU
Papaver somniferum (opium poppy) is the source of this 278-nucleotide long non-coding RNA. RefSeq lists it as uncharacterized. The transcript has 4 exons. The record is from RefSeq and is a predicted model, not a curated record. Lineage: Eukaryota; Viridiplantae; Streptophyta; Magnoliopsida; Ranunculales; Papaveraceae.